GGGCCCGCACAAGCGGUGGAGCAUGUGGUUUAAUUCGAUGAUACGCGAGGAACCUUACCAGGGCUUAAAUGCAGAACGACAGAGGUGGAAACACCUCCUUCUUCGGACGGUCUGCAAGGUGCUGCAUGGUUGUCGUCAGCUCGUGCUGUGAAGUGUCGGGUUAAGUCCCAUAACGAGCGCAACCCCUAUUUCUAGUUGCCAGCGGUUCGGCCGGGGACUCUAGAGAAACUGCCAGCGUAAGCUGUGAGGAAGGUGGGGAUGACGUCAAAUCAUCAUGCCCCUUAUGUCUUGGGCUUCACGCAUGCUACAAUGGCCGGUACAGAGGGCUGCAAUACCGCAAGGUGGAGCGAAUCCCAAAAAGCCGGUCUCAGUUCGGAUUGAGGUCUGCAACUCGACCUCAUG
RNAcentral lists this ribosomal RNA (402 nucleotides) under uncultured bacterium. Its description in RNAcentral is "bacterial SSU rRNA". It matches the Rfam family "Bacterial small subunit ribosomal RNA", at positions 917 to 1322 of the family's 1533-position model. The record is from RNAcentral.